RNAcentral lists this microRNA precursor (108 nucleotides) under Canis lupus familiaris (dog). RNAcentral's name for it is "mir-8834 microRNA precursor family". It matches the Rfam family "mir-8834 microRNA precursor family". RNAcentral also lists the same sequence under 1 other name. Lineage: Eukaryota; Metazoa; Chordata; Mammalia; Carnivora; Canidae. The record is from Rfam by way of RNAcentral.
AGGAGGAACAACCGCAGUGGGUGUGGGGGCAGCUCUGGAGUCCUGGAUUCAGCCCCCGCAGUAACUACAGAGGUCUCCGACUGCAGGGCUUGGAUGCUCUGGGGGCGG